GCCGUCUCCUGCCCCUGCUUUAUCCGCAGCCACGCGGGCUUUCUCUCAGUUCCUGAAAGAUUGGCACCGCCCUGGUGGCGGCCGUAGAUCUUCUUUCAAGAAAGAACACGCUAUUCAGUGGCAAAGAGUGCAGGGAGCUGACCGCCUACAGCAGCAGGAAUCGGCCUCAGCCUUUGAGCCUACGCUGUGCUCAUUUCGUCAAGGCUCAGAGGGUCCCCGAGCACACGGUACCUGGGCUUCAGAGCUCCCGGCUGGGGCCACCUGACCUUUUCAGAGGAGCUGUCGUGGAAGAUGAUUAAUGCUGAUCUCUGGAGUCCCGGUGAGAUGAAGCUGGGUGUCAGCCUUUUGGCAAACUCUUUGGUGUGGUGUGGCUGUGUCACCAGCAUUGAGAGCCGUGCUUGGCAUGUGGCAGGAAUCAACAUCAGUGGGUUGGAGCCAUCGGCGUAUUAAUAAUCAAUGGAUGCAUCUCUGUGGUUCCCAGAUAGUGCUUUUGUUUUCGGAUUCUGCAGAACGCACACCGAGCUUGAAUAAGCCGCAAACCGCAGACUCCCACCGCCUAAGAGAUUAUUAACAGGAGCACCAGAUCCAUUCCAAGUACGAACAAACCCGGCGAGGUUUCCUGGCUGCGGCUACUGCGUGUCAUUACCUUGGAGAAACCUUGCGUUCAACCCGGGAAAAUCCUAGUUAGAAGAAGAAUUACAGUUAUCGCCAGAUUGAUUUAGUGAUAAAAAUUCACCGUAAAAGAUAAAAUUCCUUGAUUUUUCAAAAUGCACUUUGGAGCCAUCUACACGUUUGCAGCUGGGAUACAUCUAUUUUUUUUUUUUUUAAGUAAGAAUUGGAGAGAAUUCAUUAAAUCAGUCCCUUGGGGAAGAUUACCGCUAAUUAAUUAAUUGCCAACAUUUCCAGAGGGAAGGUAUGUCAAUUGUAAAGUAAUAAAAUUAGGUAGUUGAAAUACUUACUCAGCAACUUUGAUUGCCCAUUCAUUCUUAAGCAGAAUUUUUUUUUUUUUAAAUGACAGAAAAAUGGGGAGGGUGAUGAAGAAAAAGCAUUAGUUCUGUCCUCUGGCGAUCUGGUUGCAAAGGAGAAACUACCAUAUAGGAUUUAUUGAUUUUCAGCUGAUUUAUAAGAUCUCUGUGGUAUCAGUGCUGUGUGCAAGGCCUCCAGGCCUACCUCUUGUAUUCCCUCUCUAGGAUUCAAAAAAAGGAACAUGAUUUGGGAAAAAAAAAAAAAAAGAAAGAAAGAAAAGAGGAGGAAGAACAGUGGUGAAGUGAAUUGGGAGAUGUGACUAUAAAUGCUUCAGCAUUUUCUUCAUCUGCAGAAAAGAAAACAAACAAAAGAGCCAGUUUUCUGUUAAGGCAUCUUUCGUACUAUUGUGUUCUAAGUUGCUUUAAGGUAUAAGAAUGUCUUGGAGAGGAAGGCUGCUCUUUCCAGGCAUGGAGACCUUGAUUUCACAUUGCUUUCCUGGAGAGAGGCAGCACUCAAAGCAAGCCCACUUGCUGCCACUGACAUUUGAUUGUCGCCACCUUAAGCAUUUAGUGGGGUUCCCUAAAAGUGUUCCUAUGAAGUGUGCCUUUUCCCAUUAUUUGGGGGCCCUUGUUACAAAACCAAACCAUCAGUUUCAACCAGUAUCAACUUCUGUCUGGCAGAAACCUCGGGUGAAAAGGAGUGUUUCCUGGAAAGUGAUUCAAGGAAGCUGCCACGGAAUUUGCUCUCUUCCGGACUUGUUGACAGGCAGUCACAUCGACAGCCAAGUGCCCUGAGCCUCUCCACAGCGCUGGCUUUUCAUUGCUUUGUUCAGCCCUGAUUCAUUUAGUUUGGGGAGAACUGCCCAAUUGUCUGUGUAUCCAUAUUGAAUUUUACUGAAGCAAGUAAAUAAACCUAUCAAAUACAGACCCAAUUGUAUUUAAGGGAGUCAUUCUACCUUGUUUUAUAUAGAUGAUACAGAUUCUUUUAUUGUAUUAUACCACAUACCCUGAUAGCGCCUCUAACUGCUCAUUAAAACAAAUCUGAAACAGUCAACAGUCAAAGGCCUCUUUGGAGCAGGGAGAGUACUAAUCUGACAUUGUUUAUUUGAAGUUCAGGUUGCUUUGAUUGAAAUGUACUGAAGGGCUUGAGCAGGCAGAGUAAAGAAUGUGUCUUGAUAGUAAACCUGAAUGCAGGUGCCACACACAAAAAAGGAAAUCAUACUGUACUAUUUUGAAUAUUUUAAAUAUUUCUGAUUUCCUAAUGAUUUAGAAAGACAAC
Long non-coding RNA from Cervus elaphus (red deer), 2244 nucleotides. RefSeq lists it as uncharacterized. The transcript is spliced from 4 exons. The record is from RefSeq and is a predicted model, not a curated record. Lineage: Eukaryota; Metazoa; Chordata; Mammalia; Artiodactyla; Cervidae.